UUGUUUUCAUGAUGAAUUUAGAAUUUUCAGUUAUCCCUGUCUUAGGAAUUAAUGCUGAAUAAAUUCUUUCUGAAAGUAA
Small nucleolar RNA from Sabethes cyaneus, 79 nucleotides. RefSeq annotates it as small nucleolar RNA R38. Lineage: Eukaryota; Metazoa; Arthropoda; Insecta; Diptera; Culicidae. The transcript has a single exon. The record is from RefSeq and is a predicted model, not a curated record.